RNAcentral lists this ribosomal RNA (840 nucleotides) under uncultured bacterium. Its description in RNAcentral is "bacterial SSU rRNA". It matches the Rfam family "Bacterial small subunit ribosomal RNA", at positions 51 to 904 of the family's 1533-position model. The record is from RNAcentral.
ACACAUGCAAGUCGAACGAGCAAGAGAGAGCUUGCUUUCUCGAGCGAGUGGCGAACGGGUGAGUAACGCGUGAGGAACCUGCCUCAAAGAGGGGGACAACAGUUGGAAACGACUGCUAAUACCGCAUAAGCCCACGGGUCGGCAUCGACCAGAGGGAAAAGGAGUGAUCCGCUUUGAGAUGGCCUCGCGUCCGAUUAGCUAGUUGGUGAGGUAACGGCCCACCAAGGCGACGAUCGGUAGCCGGACUGAGAGGUUGAACGGCCACAUUGGGACUGAGACACGGCCCAGACUCCUACGGGAGGCAGCAGUGGGGAAUAUUGCACAAUGGGGGAAACCCUGAUGCAGCGACGCCGCGUGGAGGAAGAAGGUCUUCGGAUUGUAAACUCCUGUUGUUGGGGAAGAUAAUGACGGUACCCAACAAGGAAGUGACGGCUAACUACGUGCCAGCAGCCGCGGUAAAACGUAGGUCACAAGCGUUGUCCGGAAUUACUGGGUGUAAAGGGAGCGCAGGCGGGAAGACAAGUUGGAAGUGAAAUCCAUGGGCUCAACCCAUGAACUGCUUUCAAAACUGUUUUUCUUGAGUAGUGCAGAGGUAGGCGGAAUUCCCGGUGUAGCGGUGGAAUGCGUAGAUAUCGGGAGGAACACCAGUGGCGAAGGCGGCCUACUGGGCACCAACUGACGCUGAGGCUCGAGAGUGUGGGUAGCAAACAGGAUUAGAUACCCUGGUAGUCCACACCGUAAACGAUGAUUACUAGGUGUUGGAGGAUUGACCCCUUCAGUGCCGCAGUUAACACAAUAAGUAAUCCACCUGGGGAGUACGACCGCAAGGUUGAAACUCAA